This 440-nucleotide ribosomal RNA is filed under the name uncultured bacterium. RNAcentral describes it as "partial 16S ribosomal RNA". It matches the Rfam family "Bacterial small subunit ribosomal RNA", at positions 339 to 795 of the family's 1533-position model. The record is from RNAcentral.
CUACGGGCGGCUGCAGGUGGGAAUAUUGGACAAUGGGCGAAAGCCUGAUCCAGCAAUACCGCGUGAAUGAUGAAGGCCUUCGGGUUGUAAAGUUCUUUUAAUAGGAAAGAUGAUGACAGUACCUAUAGAAUAAGCACCGGCAAACUUCGUGCCAGCAGCCGCGUGUAAUACGAAGGGUGCUAGCGUUGUUCGGAAUUAUUGGGCGUAAAGGGUGUGUAGGUGGUUUUGUAAGUUAAUUGUGAAAUCCCGGGGCUCAACCUCGGAAUUGCGUUUAAAACUACAGGGCUAGAGUAAGAUGAGCGAUGGCAGAAUUUCUAGUGUAGGGGUAAAAUCCGCAGAUAUUAGAAAGAAUACCGGUGGUGUAGACGGCUAUCUUGGUCUUUACUGACACUGAAACACGAAAGUGUGGGGAGCAAACAGGAUUAGAUACCCGCGUAGUC